UUCUGUAAGCCUGCGAAGGUGGCCUGUGAGGGUUGCUGGAGGUAUCAGAAGUGCGAAUGCUGACAUAAGUAACGAUAAAGCGGGUGAAAAGCCCGCUCGCCGGAAGACCAAGGGUUCCUGUCCAACGUUAAUCGGGGCAGGGUGAGUCGACCCCUAAGGCGAGGCCGAAAGGCGUAGUCGAUGGGAAACGGGUUAAUAUUCCCGUACUUGGUGUUACUGCGAAGGGGGGACGGAGAAGGCUAUGUUGGCCGGGCGACGGUUGUCCCGGUUUAAGCGUGUAGGUGUGUGUUCCAGGUAAAUCCGGUUCACUUUAACACUGAGGCGUGAUGACGAGGCACUACGGUGCUGAAGCAACAAAUGCCCUGCUUCCAGGAAAAGCCUCUAAGCAUCAGGUAACAUCAAAUCGUACCCCAAACCGACACAGGUGGUCAGGUAGAGAAUACCAAGGCGCUUGAGAGAACUCGGGUGAAGGAACUAGGCAAAAUGGUGCCGUAACU
This 497-nucleotide ribosomal RNA is filed under the name Salmonella enterica subsp. enterica serovar Stanleyville. RNAcentral's name for it is "partial 23S ribosomal RNA". It matches the Rfam family "Bacterial large subunit ribosomal RNA", at positions 1239 to 1735 of the family's 2925-position model. The record is from RNAcentral. Lineage: Bacteria; Pseudomonadati; Pseudomonadota; Gammaproteobacteria; Enterobacterales; Enterobacteriaceae.